GAAGAAGCGGGGAAAACUUUCACACUUAGAAAAAAAUUGCGCCCGACCCCAAAACUGAAACAGAUCGAAAACCCGACCCCAACUCUCGCUCGACUCCUUCAUUCUGAGCUCACCCCAAAACAGAUCUCCUCCCAAACUCGAUCUCCAUUCUCAACCCGACCCCAAACUUGACCUCCUCCUCCAUUCUCUAGCUCAGACCCGGACCCAGCCUCCUCCGCCUUUCUCCGCAUCCGCCUCCGCCUCCGACCCCAACCUUAACCCCCUCCUCCUUUCUCCUUCUUCGUCUCAGAAACAAUGAACGCGAAGAACACCCCCACAGAGACCACCGGCGAGUCUGGAUUCCUGGGAACCAUCUCCGCCUCAUCGAUUCGAAACCUCCACCCCAGAUCCAUCUCAACCAAGCACGGAAAAUCCUUCUUCAGCCCCAAAAUUGCCGCACCAAUUGCCCCAAAAUUGCUCGCCCUCGAAAGCGUUUCGCCGAGCUCGUUGAAGGACAAGGUUUAUAGGAUCUUCAGCAGGGAAAAGCGUAAGCUCGCCGGUAGAAAGGCUUGGGCUUUGAGUUGUCAGUUCUAAUUUCUAAGAAAAGAAUAAAAUUAGAAUGAUGGGCACUAACUAUUCUGGGGAAGGAAGCACUGGCGGAAUCAUACAGAAAGUGAUGGAAACUAUUUUCAAAAGAGUGGAGACAACGAAAGAUAACACGGAGUUCUUGAUCAGGGUAUCGUUUAUUGAGAUAUUCAAGGAGGAAGUGUUUGACUUGCUUGAUCCAAAUUCAUCAACUCUCUAAAAAUGAUGGGGCAGCUACUACAAAGCCUAUAGCAAGAGUGCCUAUUCAAAUUAGUUAGAGAAACAGUGAGUGGAGGGAUAACACUUGCUGGUGUGACUGAGCCAGAGGUUAGGACGAAGGAAGAUAUGGGAUCAUAUCUGGUUCGAGGUUCUUUAGCUCGUGCUUCAGGGAGCACAAACAUGAACAGUCAGUCAAGUCGCUCACAUGCUAUAUUUACAAUAACCAUGGAGCAAAAGAAGAUUUCUCACUGUCUGAAUGGAGAAAAUAAUGAUGAUAUCGGUGAUGACAUACUAUGUGCAAAACUCCAUUUAGUUGACCUAGCAGGUUCUGAGCAGGCAAAACGAACAGGUGCAAAUGGCAUGCACUUGAAAGAAGGUAACUAUAAUGUUUCUUGGAUAGAAGCUUUUUCUUGUAUAAAGGAACUAUACAAUGGGAUUUGAUGGGGCUGUGGCAAGAUUAACCCUUUAUGUUUUUACAGUGGCUCUAGUAGUCUUUCACUCUCAUUGCAUUAUUGCUCUUAAA
Molecule: long non-coding RNA, 1306 nt
Organism: Rosa chinensis
Lineage: Eukaryota; Viridiplantae; Streptophyta; Magnoliopsida; Rosales; Rosaceae
Exons: 4
Source: RefSeq, a predicted model, not a curated record